This 300-nucleotide ribosomal RNA is filed under the name uncultured Thermovibrio sp. RNAcentral's name for it is "bacterial SSU rRNA". It matches the Rfam family "Bacterial small subunit ribosomal RNA", at positions 496 to 795 of the family's 1533-position model. Lineage: Bacteria; Pseudomonadati; Aquificota; Aquificia; Desulfurobacteriales; Desulfurobacteriaceae. The record is from RNAcentral.
GCUAACUCGUGGCCAGCGUGGGCGGGAGUGCGAGGGGGGGGAGCGUGGUUCGGAAGUACAGGGCGUAAAGCGCGCGCAGGUGGCUUAGCAAGUCAGGGGUGAAAGCCCGGAGCUCAACUCCGGAAUUGCCUUUGAAACUGAUGAGCUCGAGUACGGGAGAGGUGAGUGGAAUUCCCAGUGUAGAGGUGAAAUUCGUAGAUAUUGGGAAGAACACCGGUGGCGAAGGCGGCUCACUGGCCCGUUACUGACACUCAUGCGCGACAGCGUGGGGAUCAAACAGGAUUAGAUACCCGAGUAGUC